GAUGAAGAACGUAGCGAAAUGCGAUAAGUAAUGUGAAUUGCAGAAUUCAGUGAAUCAUCGAAUCUUUGAACGCACAUUGCGCCCUCUGGUAUUCCGGAGGGCAUGUCUGUUCGAGCGUCAUUAUAACCACUCAAGCUCUCGCUUGGUAUUGGGGUUCGCGGUUCCGCGGCCCCUAAAAUCAGUGGCGGUGCCUGUCGGCUCUACGCGUAGUAAUACUCCUCGCGAUUGAGUCCGGUAGGUCUACUUGCCAGCAACCCCCAAUUUUUACAGGUUGACCUCGGAUCAGGUAGGGAUACCCGCUGAACUUAAGCAUAUCAAUAAGCGGAGGA
This 329-nucleotide unclassified non-coding RNA is filed under the name soil metagenome. Its description in RNAcentral is "partial contains 5.8S ribosomal RNA, internal transcribed spacer 2, and large subunit ribosomal RNA". The stretch from base 1 to 120 matches the Rfam family "5.8S ribosomal RNA", at positions 35 to 154 of the family's 154-position model. The record is from RNAcentral.